RNAcentral lists this long non-coding RNA (272 nucleotides) under Brassica napus (rape). RNAcentral describes it as "long non-coding RNA (BNAP_LNC006312)". The record is from RNAcentral. Lineage: Eukaryota; Viridiplantae; Streptophyta; Magnoliopsida; Brassicales; Brassicaceae.
UUUUGGUGGCUUUAAAUCAGUCGAGAAACUAUGACCAACCAAUUAACUUUCGAAAGGUCUAAUGGAAUUAAACUAGGGAUGAUCGAUGUGAUUGAGACUAAUUUCUCAAUGUGGAAUGUGACAAAAAGAUCUGUCUCCAGAAACCUCCCCCAACUAACAUGCUUAUUAGCCUUUCUUAGGCAUACGGAAUUUAUACAUAAAAAACUUACUAGUACGUGCGCAUGUAGAGGAACCUUCAAUUGUGCCAACUAUCCAAGACUAUGAUAUCUCCG